GACGAACGCUGGCGGCGUGCUUAACACAUGCAAGUCGAACGGAAAGGCCCUGCUUUUGUGGGGUGCUCGAGUGGCGAACGGGUGAGUAACACGUGAGUAACCUGCCCUUGACUUUGGGAUAACUUCAGGAAACUGGGGCUAAUACCGGGUAGGAGCUCCUGCUGCAUGGUGGGGGUUGGAAAGUUUCGGCGGUUGGGGAUGGACUCGCGGCUUAUCAGCUUGUUGGUGGGGUAGUGGCUGACCAAGGCUUUGACGGGUAGCCGGCCUGAGAGGGUGACCGGGGACAUGAGGCCUGAGAUAGGGACCAGAAGCCUACCGGAGGCAGCAGGCGGGAACAUUGCGGAAUGGGCGGAAGCCAGAUACAGAGACGCCGCGAGCGGAAAGACGGCUUUCGGGUUGUAAACAGCUUUCGCCGGUGACGAAGCGUGAGUGACGGUACUGGGUAAAGAAGCAACGGCUAACUACGUG
This 468-nucleotide ribosomal RNA is filed under the name uncultured bacterium. Its description in RNAcentral is "partial 16S ribosomal RNA". It matches the Rfam family "Bacterial small subunit ribosomal RNA", at positions 28 to 507 of the family's 1533-position model. The record is from RNAcentral.